Oryza sativa Indica Group (long-grained rice) is the source of this 183-nucleotide microRNA precursor. It matches the Rfam family "MIR812 microRNA precursor family". Lineage: Eukaryota; Viridiplantae; Streptophyta; Magnoliopsida; Poales; Poaceae. The record is from Rfam.
UUUAAAUACAACCAUAAUUUUUCGUGCUCAACUUUGAUCAUCCGUCUUAUUUAAAUUUUUUUAUAAUUUAUAUUUUUUAUUGUUAUGAGAUGAUAAAACAUAAUGUUUUUAAUCUUUUUUAGAAAAACAUUAAAUAAGUCGGACGAUCAAAGUUGUGCAUGAAAAAUCAUGGUUGCACUUAAA